UGGGGAAUAUUGGGCAAUGGGCGAAAGCCUGACCCAGCAACGCCGCGUGAAGGAAGAAGGUCUUUGGAUUGUAAACUUUUGUCCUAUGGGAAGAAGGAAGUGACGGUACCAUGGGAGGAAGCCCCGGCUAACUACGUGCCAGCAGCCGCGGUAAUACGUAGGGGGCGAGCGUUGUCCGGAAUUACUGGGCGUAAAGGGCGCGCAGGCGGCCGAUCAAGUUAGAUGUGAAAUACCUGGGCUUAACCUGGGAACUGCAUUUAAAAGCUGGUUGGUUAGGAGUGCAGGAGAGGGAAGCGGAAUUCCUAGUGUAGCGGUGAAAUGCGUAGAUAUUAGGAGGAACACCAGUGGCGAAGGCGGCUUUCUGGACUGUAACUGACGCUGAGGCGCGAAAGCGUGGGGAGCGAACAGGAUUAGAUACC
Molecule: ribosomal RNA, 419 nt
Filed under: uncultured bacterium
Lineage: Bacteria
Description: bacterial SSU rRNA
Rfam family: Bacterial small subunit ribosomal RNA
Source: RNAcentral